Molecule: unclassified non-coding RNA, 260 nt
Filed under: uncultured Nectriaceae
Lineage: Eukaryota; Fungi; Ascomycota; Sordariomycetes; Hypocreales; Nectriaceae
Description: sequence contains ITS2
Rfam family: 5.8S ribosomal RNA (bases 1-52)
Source: RNAcentral
AACGCACAUUGCGCCCGCCAGUAUUCUGGCGGGCAUGCCUGUUCGAGCGUCAUUUCAACCCUCAAGCCCAGCUUGGUGUUGGGGAUCGGCAGCGCGCCCUCGGGCGCCGCCGUCCCCUAAAUCUAGUGGCGGUCCCGCUGCAGCCUCCUCUGCGUAGUAGUUUUCUCCUCGCAAGGGCAGCUCGGUGGCGACCUCGCCGUAAAACCCCCAACUUCUGAAAGGUUGACCUCGAAUCAGGUAGGAAUACCCGCUGAACUUAA